Molecule: ribosomal RNA, 618 nt
Filed under: Haemophilus influenzae
Lineage: Bacteria; Pseudomonadati; Pseudomonadota; Gammaproteobacteria; Pasteurellales; Pasteurellaceae
Description: bacterial SSU rRNA
Rfam family: Bacterial small subunit ribosomal RNA
Source: RNAcentral
ACUUGAAUUGAAGAGUUUGAUCAUGGCUCAGAUUGAACGCUGGCGGCAGGCUUAACACAUGCAAGUCGAACGGUAGCAGGAGAAAGCUUGCUUUCUUGCUGACGAGUGGCGGACGGGUGAGUAAUGCUUGGGAAUCUGGCCUAUGGAGGGGGGAUAACGACGGGAAACUGUCGCUAAUACCGCGUAUUAUCGGAAGAUGAAAGUGCGGGACUGAGAGGCCGCAUGCCAUAGGAUGAGCCCAAGUGGGAUUAGGUAGUUGGUGGGGUAAAGGCCUACCAAGCCUGCGAUCUCUAGCUGGUCUGAGAGGAUGACCAGCCACACUGGAACUGAGACACGGUCCAGACUCCUACGGGAGGCAGCAGUGGGGAAUAUUGCGCAAUGGGGGGAACCCUGACGCAGCCAUGCCGCGUGAAUGAAGAAGGCCUUAGGGUUGUAAAGUUCUUUCGGUAUUGAGGAAGGUUGAUGUGUUAAUAGCACAUCAAAUUGACGUUAAAUACAGAAGAAGCACCGGCUAACUCCGUGCCAGCAGCCGCGGUAAUACGGAGGGUGCGAGCGUUAAUCGGAAUAACUGGGCGUAAAGGGCACGCAGGCGGUUAUUUAAGUGAGGUGUGAAAGCCC